AGGAUGAACGCUGGCGGCGUGCCUAACACAUGCAAGUCGAACGUCUCUUUCUUCGGGAAGAGGAGUGGCGGACGGGUGAGGAACACGUGGGAACCUGCCCUUCAGUGAGGAAUACCGGCGAGAAAUCGCCGACAAGACCGCAUAGCCCUCUCUGGUGAGAGCCAGAGAAGGAAAGCCUCGCAAGAGGCGCUGGAGGAGGGGCCUGCGUCCGAUUAGCUAGUUGGUGGGGUAAGAGCCUACCAAGGCGUCGAUCGGUAGCUGGUCUGAGAGGACGAUCAGCCACACUGGGAUUGAGAACGGCCCAGACUCCUACGGGGGGCAGCAGUGAGGAAUUUUCCGCAAUGGGCGCAAGCCUGACGGAGCAACGCCGCGUGCAGGAAGACGGUUUUCGGAUCGUAAACUGUCUUUUCGUCGGGGACGAGAACGGACGGUACCCGAGGAAUCGACGCCCCGGCUAACUACGUGCCAGCAGCCGC
RNAcentral lists this ribosomal RNA (476 nucleotides) under uncultured bacterium. RNAcentral's name for it is "SSU rRNA". It matches the Rfam family "Bacterial small subunit ribosomal RNA", at positions 26 to 518 of the family's 1533-position model. The record is from RNAcentral.